AUGGCGCGGCUGCCGCUGUCGCCAUCUCCACCGGCUUUCACCCCCGUCAAGGAAGAGCCCGACGUCGGCACCACCGCUGCCGCUCGCACUUCGCGCCCACCGCCCCGCAAGAAGCGCCGCCGGGACCACCUUCCGGUAACCCCAAGCCAGCCGCUGCUCACGCCCCAAACUAUUCUGUCCGGGAUUUCGAAAACCGAUUCCUUCGAUGUCAAGCGGUGCGGGGAGCUGGACCUAACGCCGAUGACCGUGCCCACCUCCAUAAAGAGCGAGCCUGACGCCGACGACGGGGCUGGCAAGAAUGCAGGAGGGGAAACAUUGCGCGCACAACCGCACAAGAAGCGCAGCCGGCACUGCCUGCCGGCAACCCCAAUCCAGCAGCCCCUUUUCACUCCCCAAGCUACCCCGCCGGGCAUUUCAAGGGCCGAUUCCUCUGUGGAUAAGUGGAGCGAGCAGCCCAGCGCAACGCCGACUACCACUGUCAAGCGUGAGCUCGAUGCAGACGCUGGCAAGGACACGGGAGGGAAGGUGGUCCGGAGACGACGCCCCUACCCUCAGAGGCCCAUUACAGAGCAAGCCCCCACCAUGUGGGCUAAUCGUGGACGCCUUGGCCGUCUCCUCCACAGUCAUGUUCGCACGCACCAAUGGCGAGAUGCUGCAGGGGUCUUCUCCGUGCUCCUACCUGGCAUCCAGCGCCCUGACUCCUUCGAGGAGGUCCGCAGCAUUUUAGUGGAUGCGAUGGAUAUUCAUAGACGCCUUGCUCAGGAUAGUGGCAACCAUGGGAGGAGAACCUACUACCACCGGACGCAGAAGGUUUUUGAUGUUUGGAUACAACGGCUAAUGUGGUUGCCUACUUCUGCAAAAAAACACAUGGUUAAACUCGAACUGGCUCUAUUUUAUCUUUCACAAGGCAAGAUCGACGAUGCACACAAUGCAACAAGAGUCCUCAUCGCGAAGGACGGACUACAGAAGGAACCAACUCUAAAUCUGAUACAUGGCUUGAUAUCAUAUGAUAAAUGGUACUCUGGCUUGCCCAAAGAUAUGCAACUUGAGAGAUUUGAUGUGUACAAUGAAUCAUGCAAAAUUUCUAUGUCAUCCAAUACCUGUGGAGAAAAUGGUCUUCAGGAUAGUUCAGAUGACAAUUGCAGCAUUGAUGUUGAUGAUGCCAGUUUUCCUGCUUGCUCUUCAGAAAGUUCUAUCAAUAAUGGGAAUAUAGACAAAAAAUGCAAGAUUCCCAAGAAAUCUCGUUCUGUUUAUCCUGUUAAGGAAAACGAUUCAGUAGAUUCACAAGUGAAAGAGGAAGUGGUUUCUGCAGAUUUUCGAAGCGUAUUUUUUAAUACCUCUGAUGCCCCUACCUGUGGGUUGGAACAAAGCUUGUUGCCACUACGUCUAAAGCAUGCUGCUGGGACUUCAAGUGAUUGCUUUGAUUCGUACUGGAAGUACAAGUCAACACCUAAUGCCUUCUACGCAGAUGCAGAAAGAUGUCUAAAAGUGGCUCUUCAUUCGUCACCACCAGUAAUGGCAGCCUUAUUGCCAUUAAUACAGAUUCUCCUGCUUGGUGAUAAACUGAAAGAUGCACUUUGUGAACUUGAGAAGACCUGCCGCAGUUCUACUACAGCGCUUCCUUUCAGAUUGCGAGGCAGACUGCUAGAGUAUUUUGACCAAAAUCAAGUAUCAACUAUAUCUUCUUGCUAUGAGGAAGCUUUGCAGAGAGAUCCUACAUGUAGCUACUCGGUUGAGAGGCUAACUGAAAUGCACAGAAAAGGAUAUUAUAAUACCACCCGACUACUUGAGAGAAUUGUUUUGCAUCUAGACUGUGUGAACGGGAAGCCUUCCAUCUGGGAGGAGCUUGUAUCAUGCUUGCUUCGGCUUUUUUCUGAUCGUACUACUGACUACGAGGAUUGUAUUUCAUGUAAUGUUGAAGGAGAUGCAUCGAUUGAUGCUUUUAGUAGUCUUUCUUCAGUCUUCUUUGAGCAACAUACGAGGGAAUCAUGGAAGCACCGAUGCAAAUGGUGGAUGAACCGUCAUUUCAGCCAAAACAUCUAUAUGUCAGAAACUGCAAAAGGUGAUUGCAAGCUCCUCGCUUCCAAGGCAUCUUGUGCUUCUCACAUGCUUGGGCCUGGAUUCCCAUAUGUCAAAGCAGCCAAGAGCUAUCUUUCCAAGCAAGAGGCUAAGCAUGAAUCCGGAUUCUUGUCCAGUAACAUGGAAAAUUCUGUCAAGUUAUUACAAAGUUUGGAGAAACUAAUGUGA
This 2247-nucleotide ribosomal RNA is filed under the name Triticum aestivum (bread wheat). RNAcentral's name for it is "partial small subunit ribosomal RNA". The record is from RNAcentral. Lineage: Eukaryota; Viridiplantae; Streptophyta; Magnoliopsida; Poales; Poaceae.